This 347-nucleotide ribosomal RNA is filed under the name uncultured Pelotomaculum sp. RNAcentral describes it as "bacterial SSU rRNA". It matches the Rfam family "Bacterial small subunit ribosomal RNA", at positions 1032 to 1382 of the family's 1533-position model. Lineage: Bacteria; Bacillati; Bacillota; Clostridia; Eubacteriales; Desulfotomaculaceae. The record is from RNAcentral.
AGACAGGUGGUGCAUCGGUUGUCGUCAGCUCGUGUCGUGAGAUGUUGGGUUAAGUCCCGCAACGAGCGCAACCCCUAUUGUUAGUUGCCAUCAUUCAGUUGGGCACUCUAGCGAACUGCCGUUGACAAAACGGAGGAAGUGGGAUGACGUCAAAUCAUCAUGCCCCUUAUGUUCUGGGCUACACACGUGCUACAAUGGCCGGUACAGACGGACGCAAAGCCGCGAGGUGGAGCAAAUCCUAAAAAGCCGGUCUCAGUUCGGAUUGCAGGCUGCAAUUCGCCUGCAUGAAGUCGGAAUCGCUAGUAAUCGCAGGUCAGCAUACUGCGGUGAAUACGUUCCCGGGCCUU